This 494-nucleotide ribosomal RNA is filed under the name uncultured bacterium. RNAcentral's name for it is "partial 16S ribosomal RNA". It matches the Rfam family "Bacterial small subunit ribosomal RNA", at positions 28 to 507 of the family's 1533-position model. The record is from RNAcentral.
GACGAACGCUGGCGGCGUGCUUAACACAUGCAAGUCGAACGGAAAGGCCUGCUUUCCCUUGUGGAUUGCGGGUACUCGAGUGGCGAACGGGUGAGUAACACGUGAGUGAUCUGCCCCCAACUUGGGUAUAAGCCUGGGAAACUGGGUCUAAUUCCCGAUAGGACUGCAGGGUGGUGCCUGUGGUGGAAAACGAUUUUCUAGUGGUUGGGGAUGAGCUCGCGGCCUAUCAGCUUGUUGGUGGGGUAAUGGCCUACCAAGGCGGCGACGGGUAGCCGGCCUGAGAGGGUGGACGGCCACAUUGGGACUGAGAUACGGCCCAGACUCCUACGGGAGGCAGCAGUGGGGAAUAUUGCACAAUGGGCGGAAGCCUGAUGCAGCGACGCCGCGUGGGGGAUGACGGCCUUCGGGUUGUAAACUCCUUUCGACCGCGAGGAAGCCACCUGGUUGGAAGGGAGGUGACGGUAGUGGUAGAAGAAGCACCGGCUAACUACGUG